RNA transcript from Leptidea sinapis, 2037 nucleotides. RefSeq lists it as uncharacterized. The transcript is spliced from 15 exons. The record is from RefSeq and is a predicted model, not a curated record. NCBI's taxonomy places the organism in Eukaryota, Metazoa, Arthropoda, Insecta, Lepidoptera, Pieridae.
UAAUUGAUAAUUUGUCCUCAAGUUUUCUCGUUCUUACUCUAUCGUAGUCGCGCCGCCAUAAUUGUCCGCAAGGUAAAUUAAUAAAACUGCUUUGUGCGAAGGGCAAGAGGCUCUCGUGAUGUGAAGUGGUGAGGCAGGUCGCCUAUAGACAUUAGUAACACCAGAGGUCAAGAGAUGCGUCGCCUGCCUUUAAGGUCCCUUAAUCGUAUCGGUUCGAGCAAACUGCAGCCGCAAUUUGAUUGCACAAAUGUCUCUGCGAGACAAGAACUUUCUCGCACAACGCGCGAUUUUAGAAUGGCAGACGUAAACAAAUCUUGGCAUGGGUGGAAUUUCGCAUUAUGAUGUUAUGCCCGGUGGUUGAUUUCGGCUGCUGUAUUUACCUGAACAACUCUGAGCACUCCCCAUGAUAAUCUUUAAUUAAUUGUGUUGUUCUGAUCGCAGCUUGCAGCACAGUUCCGGCGCAGCAACCGCUGCAGCCAGCACGCCAUCGGAUCCGCCAUGUUACAAGUCUUUUAGUCCAUUUAGUUUGUCUUGAGGUAAGCAAUGAGUGAAGCGAAUGCAUUGGGAAAUGAACCAUCAUCUCAGCUGAGCUAAAAGUGCUUUUCUGCAAGCUUGCAGCACAGUUCCGGCGCAGCAACCGCUGCAGCCAGCACGCCAUCGGAUCCGCCAUGUUACAAGUCUUUUAGUCCAUUUAGUUUGUCUUGAGGUAAGCAAUGAGUGAAGCGAAUGCAUUGGGAAAUGAACCAUCAUCUCAGCUGAGCUAAAAGUGCUUUUCUGCAAGGUAAAGCUUGCAGCACAGUUCCGGCGCAGCAACCGCUGCAGCCAUCACGCCAUCGGAUCCGCCAUGUUACAAGUCUUUUAGUCCAUUUAGUUUGUCUUGAGGUAAGCAAUGAGUGAAGCGAAUGCAUUGGGAAAUGAACCAUCAUCUCAGCUGAGCUAAAAGUGCUUUUCUGCAAGCUUGCAGCACAGUUCCGGCGCAGCAACCGCUGCAGCCAUCACGCCAUCGGAUCCGCCAUGUUACAAGUCUUUUAGUCCAUUUAGUUUGUCUUGAGGUAAGCAAUGAGUGAAGCGAAUGCAUUGGGAAAUGAACCAUCAUCUCAGCUGAGCUAAAAGUGCUUUUCUGCAAGCUUGCAGCACAGUUCCGGCGCAGCAACCGCUGCAGCCAGCACGCCAUCGGAUCCGCCAUGUUACAAGUCUUUUAGUCCAUUUAGUUUGUCUUGAGGUAAGCAAUGAGUGAAGCGAAUGCAUUGGGAAAUGAACCAUCAUCUCAGCUGAGCUAAAAGUGCUUUUCUGCAAGCUUGCAGCACAGUUCCGGCGCAGCAACCGCUGCAGCCAUCACGCCAUCGGAUCCGCCAUGUUACAAGUCUUUUAGUCCAUUUAGUUUGUCUUGAGGUAAGCAAUGAGUGAAGCGAAUGCAUUGGGAAAUGAACCAUCAUCUCAGCUGAGCUAAAAGUGCUUUUCUGCAAGCUUGCAGCACAGUUCCGGCGCAGCAACCGCUGCAGCCAGCACGCCAUCGGAUCCGCCAUGUUACAAGUCUUUUAAAACAGAAGACAUCGCUGUGCCCGACAUCACUUCAGAGGAGUCAUUGUCAACGCCAGAGUCCUUUAGGAGGAACAUAGAUUUCCAACAUCACCGCAGCGCUCCAUCGUCGGGUGCUCUCCUCCAGCCUCCAUUUGUAGAACAAGGUGGGGGUGUACAAGACCUACAUCAGAUCCUGCCUCACGUACGCAGCACCAGCAUGGUAUGGGCUCGUGACCGACUGCUACAAAAAGAAAUUGCAAAUCGAACAAAAUAAGCUGUUCCGCCGUGUCGCGACACGCCCCAUGUUACGUGAGGAACACCACGAUCGAGAGGAAUUUGGGAGUUGAGAGCCUAGACGCCUUUAUUACGCGCCUCACAGUUGCCAUGACUUCGCGAGCCGACGAAUCAGGUUUCGCACACCCGUGGGAUCUGGCGACCUGGCACGCGAGGCCACUUGCUUGAGAAAAAGAAAGACCAUUUGUGGAAAUAAUAAUAAAAUGAUUUUGUUUGUCCUUU